CCUACGGGUGGCAGCAGUGGGGAAUAUUGGGCAAUGGGCGAAAGCCUGAUCCAGCCAUGCCGCGUGUGUGAAGAAGGCCUUCGGGUUGUAAAGCACUUUCAGUGGGGAAGAAAGCCUUGGGGCUAAUACCCUCGAGGAAGGACAUCACCCACAGAAGAAGCACCGGCUAACUCCGUGCCAGCAGCCGCGGUAAUACGGAGGGUGCGAGCGUUAAUCGGAAUUACUGGGCGUAAAGCGCGCGUAGGCGGUCUGAUAAGCCGGUUGGGAAAGCCCCGGGCUCAACCUGGGAACGGCAUCCGGAACUGUCAGGCUAGAGUGCAGGAGAGGAAGGUAGAAUUCCCGGUGUAGCGGUGAAAUGCGUAGAGAUCGGGAGGAAUACCAGUGGCGAAGGCGGCCUUCUGGACUGACACUGACGCUGAGGUGCGAAAGCGUGGGUAGCAAACAGGGUUAGAUACCCCAGUAGUC
This 465-nucleotide ribosomal RNA is filed under the name Vreelandella stevensii. Its description in RNAcentral is "partial 16S ribosomal RNA". It matches the Rfam family "Bacterial small subunit ribosomal RNA", at positions 338 to 795 of the family's 1533-position model. The record is from RNAcentral. Lineage: Bacteria; Pseudomonadati; Pseudomonadota; Gammaproteobacteria; Oceanospirillales; Halomonadaceae.